GGGGCUGAUUCUGGAUUCGACGGGAUUUGCGAAACCCAAGGUGCAUGCCGAGGGGCGGUUGGCCUCGUAAAAAAGCCGCAAAAAAUAGUCGCAAACGACGAAAACUACGCUUUAGCAGCUUAAUAACCUGCUUAGAGCCCUCUCUCCCUAGCCUCCGCUCUUAGGACGGGGAUCAAGAGAGGUCAAACCCAAAAGAGAUCGCGUGGAAGCCCUGCCUGGGGUUGAAGCGUUAAAACUUAAUCAGGCUAGUUUGUUAGUGGCGUGUCCGUCCGCAGCUGGCAAGCGAAUGUAAAGACUGACUAAGCAUGUAGUACCGAGGACGUAGGAAUUUCGGACGCGGGUUCAACUCCCGCCAGCUCCACCA
RNAcentral lists this transfer-messenger RNA (364 nucleotides) under Escherichia coli. It matches the Rfam family "transfer-messenger RNA". Rfam says of the family: Bacterial tmRNA, also known as 10Sa RNA or SsrA, is named for its dual tRNA and mRNA-like properties. Its role is to liberate the mRNA from a stalled ribosome. Lineage: Bacteria; Pseudomonadati; Pseudomonadota; Gammaproteobacteria; Enterobacterales; Enterobacteriaceae. The record is from RNAcentral.